Long non-coding RNA from Tachysurus fulvidraco (yellow catfish), 724 nucleotides. RefSeq lists it as uncharacterized. The transcript is spliced from 2 exons. The record is from RefSeq and is a predicted model, not a curated record. NCBI's taxonomy places the organism in Eukaryota, Metazoa, Chordata, Actinopteri, Siluriformes, Bagridae.
GAGUCUGUUGUAACGGCUGAGCCGAGUCAAACGAUCUGACUCACAGAAAAGCGGAAAGAGGAACUGCUUAUAGCGCGGCAGGGGAAGAGGGAAAUUUAAACCUGUAGGUAUUACCAGUGUCAAAACCAGCUGUAAGCGGGACGAUCCCAAAUAGUCCACUGCUUCCUGUACACGUACACUACAUAGCCCCGAUAAGCCAUUAUGUCUGACCCUAUCUAGUGCACUUGUAUCAUAGAUCCGACGCCAUUCGUAAUUCAGCAGAAGUAGGACGUCUCAACCAGGAGUACACUGCAGUGUAAUGUAGCUGAUACACGGCGCAAAUAAUCGCUAAUGGACCGUUUACGAGAUUCGUCCUUGUGUCUGGACUCUCCUUCUAAACACAGUUAUAUUGGAAGCUUUUACGCUCCUCCGGGCAGCACCUCACACAACACCUGACACAGGGAGCAGAGGUGAAUAACCUGAUAGGAACCAAUGUGAUGUGUACAAACAUGUAACUUAUAGGUUAUAGCUUUGUGUGUGUCCUUUUGUGUACUUGUUCUCUUCAUCUUUUGUGAUUUCCUGCCUGUGUGAUUAGAAACACUGCAAGACCUGAAGAAUGAAUCAUCUGAAAUGGUUCAUAUUCCUGUCUGUUUUUCUAUAUUUACAUUUAUACUUAUCCAUCCAUCCAUCGUGUUCUUCAAUCCUUGUCACAUUCAGAUUUAAAAUAAAAUUGAAGUAAUACUGA